RNAcentral lists this small RNA (100 nucleotides) under Pan troglodytes (chimpanzee). RNAcentral's name for it is "processed transcript". Lineage: Eukaryota; Metazoa; Chordata; Mammalia; Primates; Hominidae. The record is from RNAcentral.
AGCUGCAGGAAGAGGAUAGAGGACUUAGAAAAUUGCAUCCUGGGCCGGAGGAGCCCGUGCAAAAUGCGGUUGCUGGGAGCCGCGCAGAGCUUGCCUGCUC